Molecule: ribosomal RNA, 388 nt
Filed under: uncultured bacterium
Lineage: Bacteria
Description: bacterial SSU rRNA
Rfam family: Bacterial small subunit ribosomal RNA
Source: RNAcentral
AUUGAACGCUGGCGGCAGGCCUAACACACGCAAGUCGAAUGGUAACAGGAAACAGCUUGCUGUUUCGCUGACGAGUGGCGGACGGGUGAGUAAUGUCUGGGAAACUGCCUGAUGGAGGGGGAUAACUACUGGAAACGGUAGCUAAUACCGCAUAACGUCGCAAGACCAAAGAGGGGGGACCUUCGGGGCCUCUUGCCAUCAGAUGUGCCCAGAUGGGAUUAGCUAGUAGGUGGGGUAACGGCUCACCUAGGCGACGAUCCCUAGCUGGUCUGAGAGGAUGACCAGCCACACUGGAACUGAGACACGGUCCAGACUCCUACGGGAGGCAGCAGUGGGGAAUAUUGCACAAUGGGCGCAAGCCUGAUGCAGCCAUGCCGCGUGUAUGAAG